GUUCUUUGGUUGCUUUGCAGUUUGUGACAUCUGGAACAGCUAACAAAUGGCGUACAAAGUUAAAGAAAAUUUUUCCAGGGGGGAAGCAUGCAUGAGCCAAAGAAAAUCACCAUUGCUAUUGCCUGCUAUGCGAUAUUCUAUAGCAUAUUAUGCCUGCACGUGGAUUGGUCUUGGAGUACAUGAGGACUGCAGAGUGUUGGCUGCCAUUCAGGAAUUUGCUGCACGUGAGUACAGGCUGCGUUUUAGCUGAGGAGCAAAUGAACGGAAGCCGCCCUGGGCCGUCUGCCUCAGCAGCCUGGCACCGAAUCCCUUUUCUCACAUAUCAGGUACUGGGGAGCAGCAUAAAGGAGGUAGUAUACAGACAAGAAGAAGGGCAAGGCUUCAUUUUCAGACACAAACACAAAGAUGAGCUACAAAAAGAGGAUGCUGUAGCAGCUGGAAAUUAUCUCCAUCAGGCAGCAGAAGUCACAAAAGGCAUAACAUGCGUUCAAGCUAGGAAAAUGAAACUGGAAAUGCCAAAACAAACAUCUCUAUUUAAAAAAAAAAGCUGUACUGGAAGACCGCCUCUACAUCUAAAGAUCAACCGCCGAGCCAUGACACACAGGGGAGUCAUAAAGGUAAUUUCUAGUUUCACAAGAACCACCGUGGCCAAGAGGCGUAUCAGGGGCUGUGCCUCACACUCCGUCACUGGUGGAAUGAAGUACAACAGAACCCACACAGGCUGA
This is a long non-coding RNA of Lepisosteus oculatus (spotted gar), 725 nucleotides long. The record is from Ensembl. NCBI's taxonomy places the organism in Eukaryota, Metazoa, Chordata, Actinopteri, Semionotiformes, Lepisosteidae.